UUCCACAUUAGACUGUAAGCUCCAAGAACAAAAGGACUGUGAAUUCAUUGUCGUGUGUAGUGCUCACUUACUGUAGAACCAAGGGGGCCAUUUCCCAUCUGAGUCUACCAUCUGCUCAAAGGUGCUACCAUGCUCUUAUCCCAAACAGACUACCACAAUAUCUCAGGAAGGGCAAAAUGUCCCUCCCAGCAUCACCCCCA
This 200-nucleotide long non-coding RNA is filed under the name Fukomys damarensis (Damara mole-rat). RNAcentral's name for it is "lncRNA (ENSFDAG00000027174.1)". The record is from RNAcentral. Lineage: Eukaryota; Metazoa; Chordata; Mammalia; Rodentia; Bathyergidae.